RNAcentral lists this ribosomal RNA (610 nucleotides) under uncultured bacterium. RNAcentral describes it as "bacterial SSU rRNA". The stretch from base 1 to 525 matches the Rfam family "Bacterial small subunit ribosomal RNA", at positions 338 to 873 of the family's 1533-position model. The record is from RNAcentral.
CCUACGGGAGGCAGCAGUGGGGAAUAUUGCACAAUGGGCGCAAGCCUGAUGCAGCGACGCCGCGUGAGGGAUGACGGCCUUCGGGUUGUAAACCUCUUUCAGUAGGGAAGAAGCGAAAGUGACGGUACCUGCAGAAGAAGCGCCGGCUAACUACGUGCCAGCAGCCGCGGUAAUACGUAGGGCGCAAGCGUUAUCCGGAAUUAUUGGGCGUAAAGAGCUCGUAGGCGGUUUGUCGCGUCUGCCGUGAAAGUCCGGGGCUCAACUCCGGAUCUGCGGUGGGUACGGGCAGACUAGAGUGAUGUAGGGGAGACUGGAAUUCCUGGUGUAGCGGUGAAAUGCGCAGAUAUCAGGAGGAACACCGAUGGCGAAGGCAGGUCUCUGGGCAUUAACUGACGCUGAGGAGCGAAAGCAUGGGGAGCGAACAGGAUUAGAUACCCUGGUAGUCCAUGCCGUAAACGUUGGGCACUAGGUGUGGGGGACAUUCCACGUUUUCCGCGCCGUAGCUAACGCAUUAAGUGCCCCGCCGUCGGGAGGUACGGCCGCGAGACGUAAACUUAAAUAGAAGUUAGACGGCGUGAGACGUGCCGACGGACGACGACGAGGGAGGAGG